RNAcentral lists this transfer RNA (61 nucleotides) under Idiocerus salicis. RNAcentral describes it as "tRNA-His". The record is from RNAcentral. Lineage: Eukaryota; Metazoa; Arthropoda; Insecta; Hemiptera; Cicadellidae.
AUUUAAGUAGUUUAAUUAAAAAUGAAGAUUUGUGGAGUCUUUGAUGUUUUGUCACCUUAAG